RNAcentral lists this long non-coding RNA (1337 nucleotides) under Arabidopsis lyrata. RNAcentral's name for it is "long non-coding RNA (ALYR_LNC000029)". Lineage: Eukaryota; Viridiplantae; Streptophyta; Magnoliopsida; Brassicales; Brassicaceae. The record is from RNAcentral.
UUUAGGGAUCAUGACUACGAAGACACUAUAAUAAGAAAACCAUUUAUAUAUAUGUUGAUAAUAUAGUCCAUGAUGUAAGAAAUUCUAUGUAGUCCGUAUAAAGAUACGUGUUAAAAGAAAAAUGAAAAUAAAAAUACAACCAUUAUAUAUCUCAGACCCCACGAUCUCAAUAUCUAUUUUGUAUUGUUCCCACCAUUAACUUUUACAAUCGACAGUUAUCAUCUUCUACCGCCGGAUCCUGUCAAGUGUUUCUCCACCAUUACCUCCUUCAUAGGUUUUUAACUUCUGUCAAAUUUCCAUAUUUAUUGAUUCUCUACUCUUGACAUCAACCUGAAAUUGAUUUGUAUUAAACAAAACUCUUUAUCAUCGAAGGCCAAUAUAAAUGAAAUCAUCAACAGCAAAGAAAGAAGGGUGGAGAGGAUGGCUAUUCGUUCCAAGAAGAAAAACAAUCAAACAGAAAAUCAGGGUAAUACUAAAUCAAAAAACCUAUUAAUCUAUUUCAUUUCUGCAAACCAAUGGUUGCUUUAACGUUUUUUCUAUCUUAUAUAUACAGAAAACAUUCCUCCUAAUUCUGAAGCUAACCCCAUAUCACCAAUGCAACCAAACAGAGUUUCACCUAAUAGCUUGAGUGAUAUUACAAAUGGUAUUAUCAAUUACUAAGAACAUGCGACUAACUGUGGAGUCAGAUCCAUUAGAAGUGGAUAUCAUUAAAGAGUUUUCUGAGUGGAUACUAAAACUUGGAGACGGUAAACUUUCUGAGCCAAACAACGGUGAAGCGGAGAUAGAUAUACCAGAGGAUAUGCUUCUCAAAGACUCUUUGGAUCCAAUCAAUUCAAUCGCACUUAGCACAUAUCCGUCUUUGCUUCAGAAUCUUGAUGAUGGGGACUAUUUCAAGGAACGUGCGAUACUUUGUCCUACUAAUGAUGUUGUUGAUGAGGUAAACAAUUACAUCAUGGACCUUCUUCCAGGAGAAUCACAUCAAUAUUAUAGUUCAUAUAAGAUCUGCAGUUCAGAUUCUUCAAGGACGAGGGACGAUGGUAUCUCAACGAUGCAAUUCUCGCUAUCUACAAUCUCAAUUACUAUCAAGAAGUGUUUUGAUGUUUAGUCAAUCAAACAAGCUUAAAAUCCUAUGUAAUUAUUCUUUUUCUUUUAGCAGACAGCUUAUUACGAUGGAACGUAUUUUAUUCAAUAUGUUUUUCAUCAUCAUCCAAAGACAAAUCCUCCUGCAAAAUCUAAUGCUUGAAAAGAAUUAAAUUCCGAAAACUUACUCCAUUUUUGCGUUCUUGGUCGAGAACACACGUUCAACUAAAUGACCGACAAUCCUUUUCUCAAAGAUC